AAACAGGCUUUUUUAAAAGCUAUGUAGCCUUAAAAAGAAGACAGAAU
This is a non-coding RNA of Nipponia nippon (crested ibis), 47 nucleotides long. The record is from Rfam. NCBI's taxonomy places the organism in Eukaryota, Metazoa, Chordata, Aves, Pelecaniformes, Threskiornithidae.